CCAUAUUUUCUCUGAAGUAAGUUUCAAAUCAAUGCAUUCCCCCUCCUCCAAUACUGCACUAGAAGCUCCUCAUUGGUCGGUAGAAACGAUUAAGCUCAAUUGAGAGAGUGGGUCAAUUUCUUGCAUUCCCAUUUUCAGGCGCCAGUUUGCAAAUCACAAGACACAGAAAAACAGAGACUGAAGCAAAAUGGAAGCUCCAAGUACGAUUGGAUAUGAGACCAUCUUCAAUAGAGACCAAACAACUAUGCUACCUUACCCAUCCUCGCUUUUUGCAACUCUCCACUAUUUGAAGUGGAAGAACCAGAUGAGUUUAUGCGAUGGAAGGUACUCUCUUCCCGAACAAACCCGUGUAUUCUAUCCCAAAGAACAGACCACCACAACCAAACCCACCUCUGAAAUUCAGCUCAGCAAAACUACCUACACCUCCUCCGACUUCUACCAAUCUCUCUUUCCAUUUUGACUCUCUCCUGCAACACCUCCUCCAUCUUUCUUCUCCACCCAAUUCCACUGCCCACAAGCUAAAUGACACUAAAUUCUGUUCUUCUCUUAAAAUUUCUGAUGUUUCAGCCCAGAAACAGAGAAAUCCCAUUUCAGUCCUUGAGUUUGAAGUCGACGAAGGAGAGGGUGUAUCCAAUAAUGAUUCUCUCGAUUACUUGUCAAGAAAGGGUAAGUUGAUACUUGAUUCAAUUAUGGAACAGCCUUUGCAUAGUUUGAGUUCUUUCUUUGAUUCUUGCAAAUACGAGCUGCUUCAUGUUGAUUUGAUCAGCCUCUUGAAAGCACUGGACUAUUUCGGCAACUGGGAAAAAGCCCUUUCAUUGUUUGAAUGGACCGUUUUGAAUUUAGGAACUGCAAAUGAGAAAGUAGAUAACCAGGCCAUCGAACUAAUGGCUAGGAUUCUUGGUAGAGAGUCGCAGCAUUCUAUUGCAUCGAAGCUGUUUGAUGUAAUUCCUCUUGAUGACUACUUGCUAGAUGUCCGGGCUUACACAACUAUUCUUCACACAUAUUCUCGUACUGGCAAGUACAAGAGAGCAAUUGAAAUAUUUGAGAAAAUGACAGAGUCAGGUUUGUCACCAACUCUGGUCACUUACAAUGUCAUGCUUGAUGUUUAUGGGAAAAUGGGUCGGUCUUGGAAUAAGAUUUUAGGCCUUUUAGAUGAGAUGAGAAGCAGAGGACUUGAGUUUGAUGAGUUUACUUGCAGUACUGUAAUAUCUGCUUGUGGGAGAGAGGGCCUGCUGAAUGAAGCAAAAGACUUUUUUACUGGAUUGAAGUCUCAUGGCUAUGUACCAGGGACGGUUACUUAUAAUGCUUUACUGCAAGUGUUUGGUAAGGCAGGGAUUUACUCGGAGGUCUUGACCAUCUUGAAAGAAAUGGAGGAUAACAAUUGUCCACCUGAUGCUGUGACUUAUAAUGAGCUUGUAGCGGCUUAUGUGAGGGCAGGGUUCCAUGAGGAAGGAGCUUCUGUCAUAGAUGCAAUGACUUGUAAAGGAAUCAUGCCAAAUGCUGUUACAUACACUACUGUGAUAAAUGCUUAUGGCAGAUCAGGAGAGAUGGACAAGGCUUUAAUGUUGUUUGACCAGAUGAAGGAGUUGGGUUGUGUUCCUAAUGUGUGUACUUACAAUGCAAUUCUUGGAAUGCUAGCAAAGAAGUCACGAUCAGAAGAGAUGCUGAAGAUACUUUGUGAUAUGAAAUUAAAUGGAUGUGCUCCUAAUCGCAUUACGUGGAACACAAUGCUUGCCAUGUGUGGUAAUAAGGGUAUGGAAAAAUAUGUGAAUCGGUUUCUUCAGGAAAUGAAAAUUUGUGGGUUUGAGCCUGAUAAAGACACAUUCAAUACUUUGAUUAGUGCAUAUGGAAGGUGUGGUUCUGAUAUUGAUGCUGCAAAAAUGCUUGAGGAGAUGAUUAAAGCAGGGUUUACUCCAUGUGUUACCACAUACAAUGCACUUCUGAAUGCUCUGGCUCGACGAGGUGAUUGGAGAGUGGCAGAAUCAGUCAUCCUAGACAUGAAGAGUAAAGGUUUCAAGCCCAAUGAGACCUCUUACUCAUUGAUGCUUCAUUCUUAUGCAAAGGGAGGCAAUGUGAAAGGGAUAGAAAGGAUUGAGAAAGAUAUUUAUAGUGGUAACAUCUUUCCCAGCUGGAUGCUUUUGAGAACCCUUGUUCUUGCAAACUUCAAGUGUAGGUCACUAAUGGGAACGGAAAGGGCAUUUAAGGCAUUGCAAAAAUAUGGUUACAAACCUGAUUUAGUUUUAUUUAAUUCUAUGCUUUCAAUUUUUACAAAGAACAAGAUGUAUAAGCGAGCUCAUGAAAUGCUGCAUUUGAUUCAUGAGAGUGGGUUGCAGCCAGAUCUCUUCACCUACAAUAGCUUGAUGGACAUGUAUGCCAGAGGGGGAGACUGCUGGAAAUCAGAAGAGAUUCUCAGGAUGCUACAAACGGCUGGUGGCAAACCAGACCUUGUUUCAUAUAACACUGUCAUCAAAGCUUUUUGUAGACGAGGACUUAUGCAGGAGGCUAUAAGAAUCCUAUCAGAGAUGACAUCAAUAGGAAUUGGACCAUGUAUUUUUACAUACAAUACUUUCAUUACAGGCUAUGCAGCACAAGGAAUGUUUACAGAAAUAAAUGAAGUGAUUAGCUACAUGAUUGAGCAUGACUGCAGACCAAAUGAGCUAACCUACAAGAUUGUGGUAGAUGGUUAUUGUAAAGCAAAACAAUAUAAAGAAGCCAUGGACUUCGUUUCAAAGAUUAAGAAUAUAGAUGACUCUUUUGGUGAUGGGUCUGUGCAAAGACUUGCUUCUCGGGUGCGCAAUAAUCUGGAAUCAUGAAUUCGUGGAGUAUCCCACCCAGACUCUGUAUAUUAAUCACUUGGGGAGCUUCAGGGAAUGUCAAUUCUGAAGAAAAAAAAAGUGGAUUUCUUUCUAAUCUUCUUCAGAUAUGGUGCUAGCGAAAGUCGCCAAAGAUUACCUAGAGCAUGCCUUGGCAAUGGUGGAUUUGUUCGUUCCCGAAUGUUCACCAAGUGGGAGGCAAUAGAUGCUGGAAGCAUAUCUUUCCCUGAGUUUAUUCUAGCUGUUUCCAUUGCAGAUUUCCAGAUAAGAGCUGUUACAACUUCCACACGAGUAGGAUUGCCGUUAACAAUUUUUGCUUUUAGAUUAGCCAAAUUCUUCCCAUCAAAUUCAAAUCUCCUUGUUACAAUUUUCUCAUUUCUAAUAAUGUCACUUUGCUUGAUUAUAUCUAUGCCUUUAGGUGGAAAGAGCACAGCUGAAUCCAGAUUGGGUGCAAGCUUUUCAUCACUGCCACUUGCAGUUGCAGACCAAGCAUUGAGGAAGGAGGCCAUGGUUGCGCCGUCUGCAACCUUGUGAGAAACACACACACCGAUCCCGACACUACCACACUCGAAAACAUUAAGUUGAACACCUGUGAUCACUGCUUCCCCGUCGGCUUUCUCACCAUCAGGCCUCACUUUGUAGGGAUCAAAUGGGAAAAGCUUAUACAGCAUCUCAGUUUCUGGGUUCUUGGCAAUCUCUGCUGCAAUAUUGACUUUAGUCUCCACAAAGAGAGCACCUUCAUCAUUACAUUCGACGAAAAGAUUUCCUUUCAGUUUUCCACAUAAUGGAUAGAAGCGAACAAGAGUUUCAGACAAAGACUUCUUCAACUUGUCUGACAUAGCUUUGCAAUCAUAUAUCGUGUCAAAAUCAGCAGAAGAAUAGAAAAGAAGAAUUGGAACAUAAGAUGGAGGAGCCAACUCAUCUAAGAGGCAAAUUUUGAAGUUUCUAAGAUGAUCAGGAGUUGGGGAGGCUGGCUUUAUGGUUUCCCUAGAGAUGAUCUCCACCUUCAUUGCCAUUGUUGCAUAUAUCAGAUUGCUCUGCACUAGAAGUUUUUGUUCUUGUAGUUAUCAAUUUUCUACUAUUUAUAGAGCAACUUUUGCUAUACAAAAUUACAUUCUUUCUUCUUUACAAUUAAAUGAAUUACGUCAGUUUCAGUGUGCCUAGGAACUCUUUUUUGUGCACAUCCUAACAUGUGUACAAAAUUGUCAACCAUUGGAUUAGAUAAACAAUGUUGA
Molecule: unclassified non-coding RNA, 4048 nt
Filed under: Hevea brasiliensis (rubber tree)
Lineage: Eukaryota; Viridiplantae; Streptophyta; Magnoliopsida; Malpighiales; Euphorbiaceae
Source: RNAcentral